This 800-nucleotide ribosomal RNA is filed under the name uncultured bacterium. RNAcentral describes it as "bacterial SSU rRNA". It matches the Rfam family "Bacterial small subunit ribosomal RNA", at positions 8 to 820 of the family's 1533-position model. The record is from RNAcentral.
AGAGUUUGAUCCUGGCUCAGGACGAACGCUGGCGGCGUGCUUAACACAUGCAAGUCACGGGGGCCCGCAAGGGUAACCGGCGAACGGGUGCCUAACACGUGAGCAAUCUGCCGUCCACUGGGGGAUAGCCGGCCCAACGGCCGGGUAAUACCGCAUACGCUUGCCGGGUGGCAUCACUUGGCAAGGAAACCUCCGGGGGUGGACGAGGAGCUCGCGGCCUAUCAGCUAGUUGGUGGGGUCACGGCCCACCAAGGCGAUGACGGGUAGCUGGUCUGAGAGGAUGGCCAGCCACAUUGGGACUGAGAUACGGCCCAGACUCCUACGGGAGGCAGCAGUGGGGAAUAUUGCGCAAUGGCCGCAAGGCUGACGCAGCGACGCCGCGUGGGGGAUGAAGCAUUUCGGUGUGUAAACCCCUGUUGCCCGGGACGAACCUCUCCUUUCGAGGAGACUGACGGUACCGGGUGAGGAAGCACCGGCUAACUCCGUGCCAGCAGCCGCGGUAAUACGGAGGGUGCGAGCGUUGUCCGGAAUCACUGGGCGUAAAGGGCGCGUAGGCGGUGACUUAAGCGUGUGGUGAAAGCCCGGGGCUCAACCCCGGGUCGGCCGUGCGAACUGGGUCACUCGAGCACUGUAGAGGCAGGUGGAAUUCCGGGUGUAGCGGUGGAAUGCGUAGAGAUCCGGAAGAACACCAGUGGCGAAGGCGGCCUGCUGGGCAGUAGCUGACGCUGAGGCGCGACAGCGUGGGGAGCAAACAGGAUUAGAUACCCUGGUAGUCCACGCCGUAAACGAUGGGCACUAGG